Molecule: long non-coding RNA, 2444 nt
Organism: Mustela erminea (ermine)
Lineage: Eukaryota; Metazoa; Chordata; Mammalia; Carnivora; Mustelidae
Exons: 3
Source: RefSeq, a predicted model, not a curated record
UUCUCUUUGGCAGCAUAGAUGUUUCUUUUAUUUAUCUGGGCUAUCUUAUGCAAUAUACUACCUAAUUCACUACUUGAGAGCAUAACAUUUAGCAGGCAAGCCACAAAACACACAUUUCAUUGCAGCAGCUGUCCUAGAGCCAGAAGAGGUAAAGUGCGGUGCCCAAUAUGAUCCUCUGACACAGAAUGGUCUAGCGGUUAAGAGCCUCAGCGUCAACCAGAUGGAUCUUUUCUUAAUUGCAUGAUGGCGAGCAAGUUACUUCAAUUCCCUGAAGCCAGAUUUCUCAUCACUAAGUGGAAAUACUGACCAACAGCUCUACCUGUAAGAACAUCUUUAUCGAUUGGUCGGACCCAGAAAUGUCUCUAGCACUCCUCCCUAGGUGGUGGAAAGCAAAGGAGAAGAGACUGCAGAGGCUGUGGAAGAACCUCGAUUACACUGAUGAAAUGUGAAAUAGGAGAGAUGUGAGACAUUAUUAAAUGAUUAGGUUGAAUAACGAAGGGCUAAUGUAGCCUGGAGAAUUAUGAGAAGCUGGAGUUCCACAUCUCUGUUGAGAAAUCAGGAUUUAUUGGUCUGGUUGCUGGACUCAUUCAAAUCCUAUACUUGUUAAAUUUGGAAAAUAUUUCUCAUAGGACCUCAAGAAUAUUCCAAGCCUAGGGACUAUCAAUAUUUCACAAAAUUCUAUUUUGAUUAAAAUGCUUUCCCAAAAGAAGUAAGCCCUUACUAAGAGAAAGUAUGUAGUAGCGUGCUAACUCUAGUUCCUAAUCUAGAGGAUGGAGAGCCAAAGACAAUGUAAUAUGAGGAUAAUCUAUUCUAACGUAGGUGUUCUUUGUGGACUUCCUGCUUAAAAAGACAUUAAGAUAUUAAUUAAUGAAGAUAUUUGAAAGCUCACCUCAAGUCCUUCAUAGAAUUUCUCUAAUUACAGCUCAUCAGGAAGAUGACAAGUAUUUAACUCUAAAUGAAGGCUAUAACCUGCCUUGGGUUUCUAAUAGAGUGUAAACCCUUACUCAAUGCUCACUUGUAUUUAGACGGACCAAGAACUAAGCAUUCUCGUUGUACCCGAAUUAGAAAAACACUUCUCCAGUUAGCCUGGGACCAAAGGCUUAUUUUGAAAAGAGAAUAUAAACAAAAAGCAAAAUAAAACUCUGAGCUAAUUUUCUUGCCACAAUACUUACUGGCAUUGAGAAGACUAAAAUUAGCUACAGCUAAUUUUCAAGCAAGAGGAGUGCUUUUAUGCUUCUCUAGACAAUUAGGUUUCAUGCUUCUUUUUGUGAGCUCCUCCCAAAUUUUAAGUUGCCAUUGUAUAAGAAUGUCUAGAGUCAAAGAAAUGGCUGUCUCAACAAUUGAGUGCAUAUGGGCUACAAUCUUCACACAAUAUUGUCAAGGGCAUUUUCUGGACCCAAAUAUAAAUCUCAGCUUCUAGUUGGAUGUAUUAUUUGUUGAAAUAUUUAUUCCAUAGUCCUUUACUGAGGUUUCUUUUCCUCCUCCUUAUGAUACACUAUGCCAUUUGUUGAUUUAAGAAACUUAAUAUCUUUGGUUGAUAUUUUUAAUGUUGAGAACUCUACCUUUUUAAGUGCCUUGUACCUUGAGAAAUAUUUAUUUAAGGUAUCCAAAAAGACACAAAAAGCCAACACAAUGAAUGCCAAUAUACCUGCCAUGAGGCUUAAAUAAAAAACAUAGUGUUUGUCCCUUUCUAAAUUACAUCUCCUUUCCUUCCUUCACUAAAUAUGACCACUCUCUAGAAUUACUUUCUGUCAUUCCCAUAGAUUUCUUCAUAAUUUUACUAUGUAUUCAUAAACAAUAUAAUAUGGUUCCACAGUGUUUUCACUUUCAUAUAAAUAUUGUAUAUACUCUUCUGCAACUUACUUUCCACCCAAUACUAUGUUUUUGAGAUUCAUGCCGUUGAUAUGUGUAGCUAUAGUUCAUUUUCAGUAUUGCAUAAAUACUUCACAGUGCAUUUAUCUGUGCUCCUGUUGGUGGACAUUUGGGUAAUUGCCAACUUUUCUCACACAAAAAGCUAUAUGAACAUUCUUACAAUAUAUUUCUUCAUGCACGUGUGAGGGAGUAGAGCUUAAGCCUGAAACUGGUCACAGGCCAUAAUAAAACCAUUAUUAGAAAUAGGCAAAAUGUUCUCUGUAGUGGUUCUAACAAUUUCUAGGCCUUCAACGAUGGAUUAGCAGUUCUCUUUUCUUAACAUCCUUGACAACAUUUUUACUGUAAGACAUUACAAAUUUCACCAAUCUGAUGGGUAGCAAUGGUACCUUACUGUACACAUAAGAUUUUCAAAAAAUACGGGGGUGCCUGCGUGGCUCAGUCAAUGAGGUAUGCCUGUCUUCAGCUCUGGUCAAAAUCCCAGGGUCCUGGGAUCCCGCCCUGCAUCCGACUUCCUGCUCCGGAGAACGUGCUUCUCCUUCUCCCUCUGCCACUCCCCCUACUUGUGCGCACUC